This 551-nucleotide ribosomal RNA is filed under the name uncultured bacterium. Its description in RNAcentral is "bacterial SSU rRNA". It matches the Rfam family "Bacterial small subunit ribosomal RNA", at positions 355 to 896 of the family's 1533-position model. The record is from RNAcentral.
UGGGGAAUCUUCCGCAAUGGGCGAAAGCCUGACGGAGCAACGCCGCGUGAGUGAAGACGGCCUUCGGGUUGUAAAGCUCUGUUACACGGGACGAACGGGUUUUGUGCAAACAGCAUAAGACCGUGACGGUACCGUAGAAGAAAGCCACGGCUAACUACGUGCCAGCAGCCGCGGUAAUACGUAGGUGGCAAGCGUUGUCUGGAAUGAUUGGGCGUAAAGGGCGCGCAGGCGGCCGACCAAGUCUGUCUAAAAAGUGCGGGGCUUAACCCCGUGAGGGGAGAGAAACUGGUUGGCUGAGAGUAUCGGAGAGGAAAGCGGAAUUCCUAGUGUAGCGGUGAAAUGCGUAGAUAUUAGGAGGAACACCGGUGGCGAAAGCGGCUUUCUGGACGACAACUGACGCUGAGGCGCGAAAGCUAGGGGAGCAAACGGGAUUAGAUACCCCGGUAGUCCUAGCCGUAAACGAUGGGUACUAGGUGUGGGAGGUAUCGACCCCUUCCGUGCCGGAGUUAACGCAAUAAGUACCCCGCCUGGGGAGUACGGCCGCAAGGUUG